Vicia villosa (hairy vetch) is the source of this 173-nucleotide long non-coding RNA. RefSeq lists it as uncharacterized. The record is from RefSeq and is a predicted model, not a curated record. Lineage: Eukaryota; Viridiplantae; Streptophyta; Magnoliopsida; Fabales; Fabaceae. The transcript has 3 exons.
GGAUUUGAAAAACACCACUUCAAAAUGGGGGACAAUGUUAAUGCUCAAAACUUCACCAUUGAAGGUGGAUCUUCUGAUGAAGGAGUUGCCAUUAACAUAAUUGAGAAUUUAAAUAGAUUCCAUAUAAAUGACACUCGUCUAAAUGACAAUCCUAUACAAGAAGCACCGCCAAG